RNAcentral lists this long non-coding RNA (1852 nucleotides) under Pan troglodytes (chimpanzee). RNAcentral describes it as "long non-coding RNA NONPTRT017639". The record is from RNAcentral. Lineage: Eukaryota; Metazoa; Chordata; Mammalia; Primates; Hominidae.
CGAUGACCUCUCAUCCUAUCUUGCUUCCUGACCCUUUUGUUUUUUAGCAAUCAUCCUCUUCCAGUGGUAGCGUGUUUGGGUCUGGAAACACUGGAAGAGGGGGAGGUUUCUUCAGUGGCCUUGGAGGAAAACCCAGUCAGGAUGCAGCCAACAAAAACCCAUUCAGCUCGGCCAGUGGGGGCUUUGGAUCCACAGCUACCUCAAAUACCUCUAACCUAUUUGGAAACAGUGGGGCCAAGACAUUUGGUGGAUUUGCCAGCUCGUCGUUUGGAGAGCAGAAACCCACUGGCACUUUCAGCUCUGGAGGAGGAAGUGUGGCAUCCCAAGGCUUUGGGUUUUCCUCUCCAAACAAAACAGGUGGCUUCGGUGCUGCUCCAGUGUUUGGCAGCCCUCCUACUUUUGGGGGAUCCCCUGGGUUUGGAGGGGUGCCAGCAUUCGGUUCAGCUCCAGCCUUUACAAGCCCUCUGGGCUCGACGGGAGGCAAAGUGUUCGGAGAGGGCACUGCGGCUGCCAGCGCAGGAGGAUUCGGGUUUGGGAGCAGCAGCAACACCACAUCCUUCGGCACGCUCGCGAGUCAGAAUGCCCCCACUUUCGGAUCACUGUCCCAACAGACUUCUGGUUUUGGGACCCAGAGUAGCGGAUUCUCUGGUUUUGGAUCAGGCACAGGAGGAUUCAGCUUUGGAUCAAAUAACUCGUCUGUCCAGGGUUUUGGUGGCUGGCGAAGCUGAGGGCAUGUCAGCAGGCCUUUCGAUCCCUGGGACCAACCGCAUCCUCACCUUCUUCCCCGAGAAAUGCUGGAGCAGGCUGUUCAGACCGACGUUGCCAUCAAAACACAUACACCCAGAAAGAAACAACAGAAACCAAAACUCACGAGACGCAUGAUUACUUGUUUUAUAUUUCAUGUUGGGUUUUCCCUGCCACUAUUAAACUGUCUGUUUCCGUACAGAACGUAUGUGGGUUUUUUCAGAUCACAGCCAAGAAGAUUGCCCCGUUUCUGUGGCUCUGAGAAGCCAGCAGAGCCUCCAUCAGCCAGAACACUGUGUCUUCAAGGAUGGCAUCAGAAGUCACCAGCGUCGGGUGUUGAUAAACAGCAUCGAAUGUGCCGUGGUCUCACUUGGACCUAGCGCCCUCCACAUAGGGAAGAGGUUGCAUGCUGGUGGGUCAUCUUUUUGAGGCCGAAACUUGGUUAUCUCCUCUCCAUGUUCUUUUUGCCAUUGUGUAUCAGGACCAUCCAAGGACGCACUCUGCAAUUGAGUGGAGGCAGAGGAAGCCACUCAUGCCAGCAGCAGUUGAGUUUCAGAAGCAGCCAUAGCGCUUUUCAGUACAGUACAAUAGUAGCCAGCAUGAGGCAGGACAGUGCUGCGCCUUAGCCGGCCUUGUCCCCUCAUCUCCAUGUGGCUCUUGGGUGCCGUGUGUCCUACUCCAGAGAGGAGGGGGCCAGUUACUUGAGAAGACAGCCUUUAUAUUCUGUAUGUGGCAGUGACAUUGGUAGCCACACCUACCCAGUGUCUACUAACCACAGUGCAGAUAGCCCUUGGGUAGACCCAGGAAGUGUGAAGACACUGCUGUUGCCAGACAACACUAGCAGAACGAUGCUGGAUUUGACAACAGUGUUUGCUAGGACGGCCCAGAGCUCAUCACUGCAGUUUUAUUAGAGUGCUUCUUUAUCUUUAAUGCAGUAUCUUUGAGGCCUGUAACAUCCUAGAUAGUUGCCAUCAAACAAGGACCGUCUCGCAUUGAAAACAGAUGUAAGAAUUUCUCUUUCAGGCCCAGAAUCUGACUGCUUUGGCUUGGGUCAUGAGCAGCGGGGAGUUGGGAAGAGAUUUUUUUUUUUUAGAGUUUUACAUAUUGG